CCGCAAGAAGGUCUUUUUUCCUCGCUCGCAAAGAGGCAUUGAAUUGGGCUGGGUUUAAUUUCUUAAAGCAAAUCCAGAAAUACCGCCAAGAGGCCAUUGCGUUACUUCAAGUAACGCAAUGUCUGACAGAGUCACGAUUUUCAUACCCACCGGCACGAUGCAGACGCGCGCUUUCCGAAGUCAUUCAUACAACCCCCCUCCCCUAACAUCCUUAUCUCAUCGAUCCAGACGGACACUGAGUCUCCCAGCACGAGAGAAACCUUUAAUACCACCUGUGAUUUCGGAAAAUGCCGAGUACUUCAAUACGGUUCACGAACAAUGCCUUGGCGAGAAUCAGCCAAGUUCCAGUGAAGCUUAUGAUGACAUUGGUUGGAUAUCUCCGAUCAUAGGAUUUUUAAUCAGUCUCUUUCUAUUUGCUUGGGCGUGCCUACUUUCAAUGUCCGUAAAUAGUAGAGACGAUUCAUCAUGAUCCUUUUAUCUCGCUGGUUCUUCAUAAUUGACAUUUUAAGAUGUACUGCCAUCAUUUUACCUGAUGUGCUUAGAAAAAGACAGUAUUAUCAUCAUCAUCGUCAUCGUCCUCAUUUUCGUCGUCAACGCCAUCUUGUCGUCGUCACUGCCUUCGCUGUGUUGACAAUCAUUAUCGAUAUCACCAUCAUCAGCCACGUCAUCAUUUCGGCAUCAUUUCAGCAUCAGCAUCAUCAUCUUCGUCAUCGUUAUUGUUUCUGUCGUCGUCAUCCUCGUACUCAUCAUCACUACUAUAAUCCUCAUAGUAACAUCGAUAUGCAUACUUGUUGACAUGCGUUAUAUCGUUAAAAAAUAAAUGAAUAAAACAAACAAAACAAAACGAAAAAAAAACAACAUUUGCGUUACAGAUGAUAUUCGGUUCACAGAUACUUCGCAGUCAAGAUCGAUACCGCGACAUUUAUCUCGGUUUAUAUCUUUUUAAAUGGUGCAUACUCAAUCAGCAGUCAUGAGCAGUGUUUAAGACUUUCAAUAUUCUGGAUUUUUUGGAGAAGAGAGUUCUGUUACCUUAUACUUUUUAACGCGUUAUUGUAUUUGUAUCA
Molecule: long non-coding RNA, 1064 nt
Organism: Stylophora pistillata
Lineage: Eukaryota; Metazoa; Cnidaria; Anthozoa; Scleractinia; Pocilloporidae
Source: RefSeq, a predicted model, not a curated record